GCAGAUUGAAAUUGAUUUUCCAGAGAAAUGGCCUUGGAAGAUUCGAAGCCGGUGAAGAAAGAGGAGGAGUCCAACAAGAGUUCCGUUAACAAAAAGGUCGCAAAAGUCAAGAAAGAAGAGGUUGAAUCCGUGAAGAAGGAGCCUAAAGCUGUAACAGUCAAGAAGGAACCUAAAGCUGUAACCGUCAAGAAGGAGCUUAAAGUCAAGAAGGAAAUCGACGACGACAU
RNAcentral lists this long non-coding RNA (227 nucleotides) under Phaseolus vulgaris (common bean). RNAcentral's name for it is "long non-coding RNA (PVUL_LNC000997)". Lineage: Eukaryota; Viridiplantae; Streptophyta; Magnoliopsida; Fabales; Fabaceae. The record is from RNAcentral.